This 253-nucleotide ribosomal RNA is filed under the name uncultured bacterium. RNAcentral's name for it is "partial 16S ribosomal RNA". It matches the Rfam family "Bacterial small subunit ribosomal RNA", at positions 524 to 776 of the family's 1533-position model. The record is from RNAcentral.
UACGGGGGGGGCAAGCGUUGUUCGGAAUUACUGGGCGUAAAGGGCUCGUAGGUGGCCAACUAAGUCAGACGUGAAAUCCCUCAGCUUAACUGGGGAACUGCGUCUGAUACUGGAUGGCUUGAGGACUGGAGAGGAGACUGGAAUUUACGGUGUAGCAGUGAAAUGCGUAGAGAUCGUAAGGAAGACCAGUGGCGAAGGCGGGUCUCUGGACAGUUCCUGACACUGAGGCACGAAGGCCAGGGGAGCAAACGGG